Long non-coding RNA from Apis cerana (Asiatic honeybee), 2372 nucleotides. RefSeq lists it as uncharacterized. The record is from RefSeq and is a predicted model, not a curated record. Lineage: Eukaryota; Metazoa; Arthropoda; Insecta; Hymenoptera; Apidae.
AAUCCCUGCGCGAAAAUUUCUCGAAAAUUAUCGAAGAAUUCCCCGGAUGAACACCUAGCCAGCGCGCGUAGUGGUCGAAGAAUAAAACCAGCGAAACGCAUAGCGGUGAAUAACUGCGGGCGAAUCGCAUAAUGUUCUGUUAUGCAGAUUUUCACGCCUAAGGGAUAAUCGCGAUACAGAGAGGUAGAAAUUGCGCCUCUACGCGCAGCUACGCGCACAUCUCGCAAAAAGGAAGAUAGGAAAAAAAAAGAAAAAAAGAAAGAAGCCUAGAGCAAGUUGGCAGCAGCAUGCAACGAAUCAACGUAAUUGCGGUGGUAGGCUGGUACCGAGAUUUCAACUGGACGCGAUAACGAGAGGUGGAAAGGCCUCGAAACGUUUCCAGGAAUUCGCCCAGUUCAAUUUGUUCAAACCGCCAACAACGCUCCUCCUAUUCCUCGAUCGGCGUAUCUUCGUGAAAUAGUCACGCUUCGAAAACGCUGCAUUCGCGUAAUAGUAUUCUCUCUGUCUCCCUCUGUCCCUCUCUUUCUCGUCUCGCGCGUCCCCUUUCCGUUAUUAUUUUAAUUACGGUCAGCGCGCGAGAACCGAGCGCCACGGGACGACGAAUGGAGGACGAGCGAAAUUGGAGAAAAUACCGAUGAAGUUUGCUGCUAAUGAGCUUGCGCUCGAAAGGUUAGUUGCAAUACUUCCCUUCUGUCGUUGAUUCUGGAUGAUUUCUGGAUGGAAUUACGCGCUGGUGAUGAUUCGUGUGUGAUGUUUCGACGAGAAAAAAGUAUUUGUAUAGGAAUAGUGGAUCGAAAGAAAAGAAAGGAAUAUAAACAAGCAAAUAGUAUACAGGAUCGAGCAUUCAUUUCGAGGAUUCUUCGUUGUCCUUUUCCAAUCCAAAACCGAUCUAGAAUUGAUACUGCUAUUUAUAGGCUAGCUUCGUUAAGAUUUGCACUCGGCCAGCUAUGAAUAAACAUGUGGCGGGAUGAUGUUCGAUCCGCUCUAAAAAUGACGGUGGAAACCGAUUCAUAACCAAUUUCGCUCUAUCGCGCUGAUUUUAAUUGCUCCGUGAAAACCGCUGGAACCAAACCGAGGAAAACAAGCGCUGUUGCAUGGCGGACGGAACCAAAGGCGUGCAAUCGCCAUGAUGAAUUCCAUCGAUCGAUAAACAAAUCGAACGAAUAAUUUACGUUUUCGAAUUUUCAUUUGAAACGUUCUUUCUUCUUCAUUCUCCUCUCCUUCUGGACUCUAUUAAACAUCGAAUGAAAUUACAAUCCCUGUAUUUCGAACAUUCCAAAAAUAUUCCUUUUCUCGAACCGAUCCUCUCCUCGUGAUAACAUGAACGAGUUUAAUAGAUCAGGUUUACGACGAGAAUACAAGCUUAAUUUCAACAAACAUAUCCGUAAAUUUACAGAAGGAGGGGAGAAAUUUGCUCUGCCCGAAACAAAGUAUCUAUCGAUGAAAGAUGAGAUGAAAAUUUAUCCAAAUUUAGCACGCUUGAGUAAAAUAAAAUUAAAGAAUUACGACAAGUUAGAAUAUUUUAUAUGAGAAAAAGAGAGAGAGAGGAUAGAUCAGGAGGAGGAGGAGAUGAACGAAGGAAAUUUGCAAGCGUGGGAAAAAGAGGAAUGAUAAGGACGGAAAAAGCAAAGUUCUUGGCCCGAUUAAAAUUGGCCAGGAUCCAACCGAGACCCACCACCGAGAUCUUAUUUGUCCAGAGUGGAUCCUGCAAUAAGGAAAAUUAAAGGAGAAAGGAAGGAAGAAAUUCUAAUGGGAGUUAACUCUCGUCGAGUCUUUUCAGUAGGGCGAAAGGGAAACUUGAAAUCAUCUUAUGCAGUUCGUAACGAAGAGAUAAAGAUACAAGGAACCUAUUCACAAAUCAAUAUUCGCGAUCUUAUUAUUUCGAGAUAACGAAAUCUAACGCGAAUCACUCGAUUUUUAAUUUUUAGAAUACUUUUUGUUAUAAUAACAUAAAAAUAUAACUAAAUAUAUGUAUAAAUUAACGUUUAAUUAGCAUAGAAUAAGAAUGAAAAUAACAUAAUUAUCAAUGUAUAAAAAAAUAGAAUAUAUUUUGCCCCGUGGCGACCGAGACUCGCCUCUCGAGCGCAAAAGCAUUGAAUAAGUUAAAAUGCAGGAACAAAUGUGCUUAACGAUUAAUUAGAAAUGCACGACUCGGAAUGAAUAAUUCGUGUAAUUUCUAAUCGGUUGAUGGCAUCGUGGAACGGAAGACCUCGUUUCAAUUACACGUUUAGAAGAAUCUCGAUGAAAUUUAUAUAAAAUUAACUCUCGUAUUAAUAGAGUGUGUAAAUCGAAUGUUUAAUCAACGCUUAAACUACCAUUAUUAUCGAUAAUAUCUUUAACAAUAUGCUCGAUUAAAAUAUUUUGCAAAAUCA